This 72-nucleotide transfer RNA is filed under the name Caudoviricetes sp. RNAcentral's name for it is "tRNA-Lys". It matches the Rfam family "tRNA". Rfam says of the family: Transfer RNA (tRNA) molecules are approximately 80 nucleotides in length. The record is from RNAcentral. Lineage: Duplodnaviria; Heunggongvirae; Uroviricota; Caudoviricetes.
CGGAACUUAGCUCAGUGGUAGAGCGCUUGACUUUUAAUCAAGUUGUCGGGGGUUCGAUUCCUCCAGUUCCGA